UGGCAGGUUGGGUUCAUUGUUACAAUGUAGCUGCGAAGUGCUGUAUUGUCCUUUCCCCCUGCUGAGAGCAAGUGGUUCCCACAAUCUCUGUCUAGCUCAGUUCUGUAGUAAGACAGGGACGCUUGGUCUCAAACAU
This is a small nucleolar RNA of Dipodomys ordii (Ord's kangaroo rat), 136 nucleotides long. Its record names the gene SNORA63. It matches the Rfam family "Small nucleolar RNA SNORA63". From Rfam's summary of the family: E3 belongs to the H/ACA class of snoRNAs and is involved in the processing of eukaryotic pre-rRNA and has regions of complementarity to 18S rRNA. Lineage: Eukaryota; Metazoa; Chordata; Mammalia; Rodentia; Heteromyidae. The record is from Ensembl.